UGUCCCAGAUUUUAUGCACCUGUGAUGUAUCUGGCUGAAAUAUCUGAACUGUGGCGUGUCCAGAUACUUUUGGUCAUAGUGUAAAGUGAGCGUUCAGUGACUAGCCGGAAGAAGACCGCAAGACAGCACACUCCCCAGGGGAUAGGGACUCCGUUCACUCCCCAAUUACUCACACCUGGGCCCACAGGUUGCUGUGUUCACUCUUUUAGGUUGCCGCUCAAUGGGCGGGGCGAGGGACGAGAGAGGGCUGGGAACAGGAGGACGGGGUGAAGACUCAUUGGGAAGCGGAACACAAGUGUGGACGAUGACAUUUCCACUCUUUGGGGCCAGUUCAUUUAGAAAAUGGCCGUUUUGUUUAAGAGCUGUUUGGAAAAUAUUAAAGAACCUAAGGUGCCUAGAUUAGGCAGUAUGUUAAUGUUCUUCUUUACAAAACUGUUCAACCUCUUUUAAGAUCCUUGGGGAACGUCCAUGUAAUGCAAUCUUCAAGUCAUGUCACACAUUUUGGGAUUUAGGUUAGGGCUCUGACUGGGCCACUCAAUAACAUUUACCUUGUUUUUCAUUUGUGCUCCAAUAGCCAUGUGCUUCUGUUCAUUGUCAUGUUGAAAGGAGAACUUCAGUGAUGGAAGUAUGUGUUUUGUGAUGUGCCAUGUUGGAUUUCCCAGACCACUUUUUGCCACAUGGCUACAUAGCGAAUCUCAUUAUUGUUAUUUAUUUUUUGCAUGCUUCUGACAGGAUUUCAUGUGAGUUUUCUUGAGUAAUGCAUUAAUUAUUGUCAUCCUCCCAUUUUGAGUGUUUGUGAAAGCUGUCACAUCCACAACAGACCAGUCUUGGUCAACAGACAAGUCUUUUAUUAUUGCUAUGAAAAGUAGGUCAUCCAUUUAUGAUAUUUCAAUUUUGUGUUUUUAAUAUAGAAUUUACAAUAAUAAAUAUGUGUGUGUGUAAAACAACAAAAUGCUGAAGUUCAGUGGGGUGUAAAUAUUCUACAUGACCUGUAUACACCUCAAAGACUUCACAUUCCUUUCUUUUAGGCUACUAUUAUAAUGUUAAGCUCCAAUUGAUGUAUAAUGUUUGAACUUGCAGCGUCUUGUUACAU
Esox lucius (northern pike) is the source of this 1093-nucleotide long non-coding RNA. RefSeq lists it as uncharacterized. The transcript is spliced from 3 exons. Lineage: Eukaryota; Metazoa; Chordata; Actinopteri; Esociformes; Esocidae. The record is from RefSeq and is a predicted model, not a curated record.